RNAcentral lists this ribosomal RNA (475 nucleotides) under uncultured bacterium. RNAcentral's name for it is "bacterial SSU rRNA". It matches the Rfam family "Bacterial small subunit ribosomal RNA", at positions 28 to 507 of the family's 1533-position model. The record is from RNAcentral.
GACGAACGCUGGCGGCGUGCCUAAUACAUGCAAGUCGAGCGGACUUAUCUGGGUAGCUUGCUAUUUGGAUAAGUUAGCGGCGGACGGGUGAGUAACACGUGGGUAAUCUGCCUCGUAGUUUGGGAUAACAGGCCGAAAGGUUUGCUAAUACCGGAUAAGUUCAUGUUGUUGCAUAAUGGCAUGAAGAAAGGGGAAACCCGCUUUCAGAUGGGCCCGCGUCCCAUCAGCUAGUUGGUAAGGUAAAGGCUUACCAAGGCGACGACGGGUAGCCGGUCUGAGAGGAUGUACGGCCACACUGGGACUGAGAUACGGCCCAGACUCCUACGGGAGGCAGCAGUUGGGAAUCUUAGGCAAUGGACGAAAGUCUGACCUAGCGACGCCGCGUGAGGGAAGAAGGCCUUCGGGUUGUAAACCUCUGUCAUGGGGGAAGAAGGAAGUGACGGUACCCCAAGAGGAAGCCCCUGCUAACUACGUG